UAUGGCCAUGUCACGUUGAAACCCCAGUUCCGUAUGAUCACCGAAGUUAAGCAACGUCGAGCGUGGUCAGCAUCUAGAUGGGUGACUGCUUGUGAACACCAAGUUCUGUAAG
This 112-nucleotide ribosomal RNA is filed under the name Acanthosepion pharaonis. The record is from RNAcentral. Lineage: Eukaryota; Metazoa; Mollusca; Cephalopoda; Sepiida; Sepiidae.